UACGGAGGGGGCUAGCGUUGUUCGGAAUUACUGGGCGUAAAGGGCGCGUAGGCGGCGCGAUAAGUUGGGCGUGAAAGGCCCCGGGGCUCAACCCCGGGGGACUGCGCUUGAUACUGUCGCGCUGUGAGUCCGGGGAGAGGAUGGCGGAAUUCCCCAGUGUAGAGGUGAAAUUCGUAGAUAUUGGGAAGAACACCGGUGGCGAAGGCGGCCAUCUGGACCGCAACUGACGCUGAGGCGCGGAAAAGCGUGGGGGAGCAAACGGGG
This 264-nucleotide ribosomal RNA is filed under the name uncultured bacterium. RNAcentral describes it as "partial 16S ribosomal RNA". It matches the Rfam family "Bacterial small subunit ribosomal RNA", at positions 524 to 777 of the family's 1533-position model. The record is from RNAcentral.